Molecule: ribosomal RNA, 686 nt
Filed under: Salmonella enterica
Lineage: Bacteria; Pseudomonadati; Pseudomonadota; Gammaproteobacteria; Enterobacterales; Enterobacteriaceae
Description: partial 23S ribosomal RNA
Rfam family: Bacterial large subunit ribosomal RNA
Source: RNAcentral
UGUAUAAUGGGUCAGCGACUUAUAUUCUGUAGCAAGGUUAACCGAAUAGGGGAGCCGGAGGGAAACCGAGUCUUAACCGGGCGUUAAGUUGCAGGGUAUAGACCCGAAACCCGGUGAUCUAGCCAUGGGCAGGUUGAAGGUUGGGUAACACUAACUGGAGGACCGAACCGACUAAUGUUGAAAAAUUAGCGGAUGACCUGUGGCUGGGGGUGAAAGGCCAAUCAAACCGGGAGAUAGCUGGUUCUCCCCGAAAGCUAUUUAGGUAGCGCCUCGUGAAUUCAUCUCCGGGGGUAGAGCACUGUUUCGGCUAGGGGGCCAUCCCGGCUUACCAACCCGAUGCAAACUGCGAAUACCGGAGAAUGUUAUCACGGGAGACACACGGCGGGUGCUAACGUCCGUCGUGAAGAGGGAAACAACCCAGACCGCCAGCUAAGGUCCCAAAGUCAUGGUUAAGUGGGAAACGAUGUGGGAAGGCCCAGACAGCCAGGAUGUUGGCUUAGAAGCAGCCAUCAUUUAAAGAAAGCGUAAUAGCUCACUGGUCGAGUCGGCCUGCGCGGAAGAUGUAACGGGGCUAAACCAUGCACCGAAGCUGCGGCAGCGACACUGUGUGUUGUUGGGUAGGGGAGCGUUCUGUAAGCCUGUGAAGGUGUGUCGUGAGGCAUGCUGGAGGUAUCAGAAGUGCGAAU